RNAcentral lists this ribosomal RNA (414 nucleotides) under Ureibacillus thermosphaericus. Its description in RNAcentral is "bacterial SSU rRNA". It matches the Rfam family "Bacterial small subunit ribosomal RNA", at positions 505 to 916 of the family's 1533-position model. The record is from RNAcentral. Lineage: Bacteria; Bacillati; Bacillota; Bacilli; Caryophanales; Caryophanaceae.
GUGCCAGCAGCCGCGGUAAUACGUAGGUGGCAAGCGUUGUCCGGAAUUAUUGGGCGUAAAGCGCGCGCAGGCGGUCUCUUAAGUCUGAUGUGAAAGCCCCCGGCUCAACCGGGGAGGGUCAUUGGAAACUGGGAGACUUGAGUGCAGGAGAGGGAAGUGGAAUUCCAUGUGUAGCGGUGAAAUGCGUAGAGAUAUGGAGGAACACCAGUGGCGAAGGCGGCUUCCUGGCCUGUAACUGACGCUGAGGCGCGAAAGCGUGGGGAGCAAACAGGAUUAGAUACCCUGGUAGUCCACGCCGUAAACGAUGAGUGCUAGGUGUUAGGGGGUUUCCGCCCCUUAGUGCUGCCAGCUAACGCAUUAAGCACUCCGCCUGGGGAGUACGGUCGCAAGACUGAAACUCAAAGGAAUUGACGG